Molecule: ribosomal RNA, 496 nt
Filed under: uncultured bacterium
Lineage: Bacteria
Description: partial 16S ribosomal RNA
Rfam family: Bacterial small subunit ribosomal RNA
Source: RNAcentral
GACGAACGCUGGCGGCGUGCCUAAUACAUGCAAGUAGAACGCUGAAGAGAGGAGCUUGCUCUUCUUGGAUGAGUUGCGAACGGGUGAGUAACGCGUAGGUAACCUGCCUUGUAGCGGGGGAUAACUAUUGGAAACGAUAGCUAAUACCGCAUAACAAUGGAUGACACAUGUCAUUUAUUUGAAAGGGGCAAUUGCUCCACUACAAGAUGGACCUGCGUUGUAUUAGCUAGUAGGUGAGGUAAUGGCUCACCUAGGCGACGAUACAUAGCCGACCUGAGAGGGGGACAGCCCCACCGGGGAGUGAGACACGGCCCAGACUCCUAGGGGGGGCAGAAGAGGGGAAUUUUGGGAAAGGGGGGCAACCCUUCCCGGGAACCGCCGGGUGGGGUAAGAAGGUUUUGGGAUCUAAAAGCUCUGUUUUAAUUCAAGAACGGGUGUGAGGGGGGAAAGUUCACACUGGGACGGGAGUUUACCAGAAAGGGGCGGCUAACUACGU